This 68-nucleotide transfer RNA is filed under the name Arctica islandica. RNAcentral's name for it is "tRNA-Lys". The record is from RNAcentral. Lineage: Eukaryota; Metazoa; Mollusca; Bivalvia; Venerida; Arcticidae.
UGCCUUGGUAGCUAUACUAUAAGUGGAAGGCUUUUAACCUCUCCGAAGCAUUUGAUUGUCCAAGGUAU